AGAGUUUGAUCCUGGCUCAGAAUCAACGCUGGCGGCGCGCUUAACACAUGCAAGUCGAACGAGAAAGCUGGAGCAAUCCAGUGAGUAAAGUGGCGUACGGGUGAGUAACACGUGGAUCAUCUACCUCUUUGUGGGGGAUAACUCUGGGAAACCGGAGCUAAUACCGCAUAAGCUCGAGAGAGGAAAGCAGCAAUGCGCAGAGAGAGGAGUCCGCGGCCGAUUAGCUAGUUGGCGGGGUAAUGGCCCACCAAGGCGAUGAUCGGUAGCCGGCCUGAGAGGGCACACGGCCACACUGGCACUGAAACACGGGCCAGACUCCUACGGGAGGCAGCAGUGGGGAAUCUUGCACAAUGGGGGCAACCCUGAUGCAGCGACGCCGCGUGAGCGAUGAAGCCCUUCGGGGUGUAAAGCUCUUUCGGCAGGGACGAUAAUGACGGUACCUGAAGAAGAAGCUGCGGCUAACUACGUGCCAGCAGCCGCGGUAAUACGUAGGCAGCAAGCGUUGUUCGGAAUUACUGGGCGUAAAGAGUGUGUAGGCGGUUUUCUAAGUUUGGUGUGAAAUCUCCCGGCUUAACUGGGAGGGUGCGCCGAAAACUGGAAGGCUUGAGUGUCGGAGAGGAUAGCGGAAUUCCCGGUGUAGCGGUGAAAUGCGUAGAUAUCGGGAGGAACACCUGCGGUGUAGACGGCUAUCUGGACGACCACUGACGCUGAGACACGAAAGCGUGGGUAGCAAACAGGAUUAGAUACCCUAGUAGUCC
This 758-nucleotide ribosomal RNA is filed under the name uncultured bacterium. RNAcentral's name for it is "bacterial SSU rRNA". It matches the Rfam family "Bacterial small subunit ribosomal RNA", at positions 8 to 796 of the family's 1533-position model. The record is from RNAcentral.